AUACAUAGCCAUUCCUUGAAAAUGCCUGAUCUUGUCUGAGCUCAGAAGUUAAGCAGGGUUGGGCCUGGCUAGUACUGAGGUGGGAGUCAGCAAGGAAUACCAUGUGCUCUAGCUC
This 115-nucleotide ribosomal RNA is filed under the name Periophthalmus magnuspinnatus. The record is from RNAcentral. Lineage: Eukaryota; Metazoa; Chordata; Actinopteri; Gobiiformes; Gobiidae.